This 148-nucleotide signal recognition particle RNA is filed under the name Homo sapiens (human). RNAcentral's name for it is "Metazoan signal recognition particle RNA". It matches the Rfam family "Metazoan signal recognition particle RNA". From Rfam's summary of the family: The signal recognition particle (SRP) is a universally conserved ribonucleoprotein. The record is from Rfam by way of RNAcentral. Lineage: Eukaryota; Metazoa; Chordata; Mammalia; Primates; Hominidae.
GCUGGGCGUGGUGGUGCACGCCUGUGGUCCCAGCUACUCGGGAGGCUGAGGCGGGAGAAUCACUUCAGCCCAGGAGGCUGAGGUUGCAGUGAGCCGAGAUUGCACCACUGUACUCCAGCCUGGGCAACUGAGUGAGACUCCGUCUCAA